CCUACGGGAGGCAGCAGUGGGGAAUAUUGCGCAAUGGGCGAAAGCCUGACGCAGCGACGCCGCGUGAGGGAUGAAGGUCUUCGGAUCGUAAACCUCUGUCAGCAGGGAAGAACGGUCACUGUGCUAAUCAGCAGUGAAUUGACGGUACCUGCAAAGGAAGCACCGGCUAACUCCGUGCCAGCAGCCGCGGUAAUACGGAGGAUGCGAGCGUUAUCCGGAUUUAUUGGGUUUAAAGGGUGCGCAGGCGGCGAGUUAAGUCAGCGGUAAAAUUUCGGGGCUCAACCCCGACGAGCCGUUGAAACUGGCUUGCUAGAGUGGGCGAGAAGUAUGCGGAAUGCGUGGUGUAGCGGUGAAAUGCAUAGAUAUCACGCAGAACUCCGAUUGCGAAGGCAGCAUACCAGCGCCCAACUGACGCUCAGGCACGAAAGCGUGGGUAUCGAACAGGAUUAGAUACGCGGGUAGUC
Molecule: ribosomal RNA, 464 nt
Filed under: uncultured bacterium
Lineage: Bacteria
Description: partial 16S ribosomal RNA
Rfam family: Bacterial small subunit ribosomal RNA
Source: RNAcentral